This 357-nucleotide long non-coding RNA is filed under the name Lathyrus oleraceus (garden pea). RNAcentral's name for it is "Pisum sativum (pea) long non-coding RNA (PSAT_LNC028073)". Lineage: Eukaryota; Viridiplantae; Streptophyta; Magnoliopsida; Fabales; Fabaceae. The record is from RNAcentral.
AUUCUAAAAUUCUAGCCGGAGGUAACCAUGUACCUUAGCAUUAUUCACUUGUUUAUUUUUAUCAUUGCCAUCCAAGCUCGGAUGCACCUUCAUUGGAUACUUCUUUGAGGAGCAACCAAUCUAGAAGGUUUGACACUCAACCAACCAAAAUUUUAUUAAAACAAACGAAAUUUAAAACAUAAAUAAUACAUUACUUCAAAAUUUAAAAUUGUUCAUGGGGGACAAAACACCCCAAAAGUACAUAACCAACAUCAAAAUACACAAAUUUGAAAAUACAAUAGAAAUAAAACAAAAUAUGAAAAAUAGAAUAAACUUAGCCCUCCAAGGACUCAUAACCCUCAUCAGUACCGACUUCAG